Molecule: ribosomal RNA, 1007 nt
Filed under: Streptococcus pneumoniae
Lineage: Bacteria; Bacillati; Bacillota; Bacilli; Lactobacillales; Streptococcaceae
Description: partial 23S ribosomal RNA
Rfam family: Bacterial large subunit ribosomal RNA
Source: RNAcentral
GAAAAGUGCGGGGAUGAGGUGUGGGUAGCGGAGAAAUUCCAAUCGAACCUGGAGAUAGCUGGUUCUCUCCGAAAUAGCUUUAGGGCUAGCCUCAAGAUAGAGAAUCCUGGAGGUAGAGCACUGUUUGGACUAGGGGCCCAUCCCGGGUUACCGAAUUCAGACAAACUCCGAAUGCCAGUGAUUUAUGCUUGGGAGUCAGACUGCGAGUGAUAAGAUCCGUAGUCAAGAGGGAAACAGCCCAGACCACCAGCUAAGGUCCCCAAAUAUCCGUUAAGUGGAAAAGGAUGUGGCGUUGCUUAGACAACCAGGAUGUUGGCUUAGAAGCAGCCAUCAUUUAAAGAGUGCGUAAUAGCUCACUGGUCGAGUGACACUGCGCCGAAAAUGUACCGGGGCUAAACGGAUUACCGAAGCUGUGGAUGGACAUCGUAGAUGUCCGUGGUAGGAGAGCGUUCUAAGGGCGUUGAAGUCAGACCGGAAGGACUGGUGGAGCGCUUAGAAGUGAGAAUGCCGGUAUGAGUAACGAAAGACGGGUGAGAAUCCCGUCCACCGAAUGCCUAAGGUUUCCUGAGGAAGGCUCGUCCGCUCAGGGUUAGUCGGGACCUAAGUCGAGGCCGAUAGGCGUAGACGAUGGACAACAGGUUGAUAUUCCUGUACCACCUCCCCGCCGUUUGAGCAAUGGGGGGACGCAGAAGGAUAGGGUGAGCGUGCCGUUGGUUGUGCACGUCCAAGUUGUGAGAUGAGAAACGAGGCAAAUCCCGUUUCUAGAUACAUCAAGCAGUGAUGGCAAGAGGUUUACCUCAGAGUCCCUGAUUUCACACUGCCAAGAAAAGCCUCUAGCGAGGCGGGAGGUGCCCGUACCGCAAACCGACACAGGUAGGCGAGAAGAGAAUUCUAAGGUGAGCGAGUGAACUCUCGUUAAGGAACUCGGCAAAAUGACCCCGUAACUUCGGGAGAAGGGGUGCUCUGGUAGGGUGAAUAGCCCGAGAGAGCCGCAGUGAAUAGGCCCA